This 414-nucleotide long non-coding RNA is filed under the name Solanum tuberosum (potato). RNAcentral's name for it is "long non-coding RNA (STUB_LNC004743)". The record is from RNAcentral. Lineage: Eukaryota; Viridiplantae; Streptophyta; Magnoliopsida; Solanales; Solanaceae.
AAAAAAACUAAUUAAAACUUUAGUAAUAUUUCUUUUAUUUUAGAGUAGCUUUUUGUUUUCUUUUAAAAAAAAUUAUGUUUCCUUUUAUUUUAUUUUGUACUUUUUACGCUCUUUCUCUUCUUUCUUUGGCAAAGAAACAACACUGGCGGCGGCGGGGAACAACACCGGUGACGACAACAUUUCGAUCCAUCAUACAAGCUUUGCUCCUCCACCUCCAGGAGCCCGCUUCAUCGACCUUCUAUCACUAAGCCUCUCACCUUCAAAUUCACACUCCUCAUAUAGGAGCUCCACUAAAAACCCACAAGAAAUAACCUUUGUUACUCCACCAUAUGAGUACAUAUCCAUCAACCGCCAGUUCCGCUGAGAACCACCACGUGAACCACCAUCACCACUUUCUCUAUUUUUCUCCAUAGC